UACGUAGGGGGCGAGCGUUGUCCGAAGUUACUGGGCGUAAAGCGCGCGUAGGCGGCUUCUUAAGUUUGAGGUGAAAGGCUCAGCGCUCAACGUGAGCAGUGCCUUGAAUACUGGGGAGCUUGAAUGUGGCAGAGGGGCGUGGAAUUUCGGGUGUAGCGGUGAAAUGCGUAGAUAUCCGGAGGAACACCGGUGGCGAAGGCGGGGCUCUGGGCUAUCAUUGACGCUGAGGUGCGAAAGCGUGGGGAGCGAACGGG
This 254-nucleotide ribosomal RNA is filed under the name uncultured bacterium. RNAcentral describes it as "partial 16S ribosomal RNA". It matches the Rfam family "Bacterial small subunit ribosomal RNA", at positions 524 to 776 of the family's 1533-position model. The record is from RNAcentral.